Molecule: ribosomal RNA, 549 nt
Filed under: uncultured Glomeromycotina
Lineage: Eukaryota; Fungi; Glomeromycota
Description: SSU rRNA
Rfam family: Eukaryotic small subunit ribosomal RNA
Source: RNAcentral
UUGGAGGGCAAGUCUGGUGCCAGCAGCCGCGGUAAUUCCAGCUCCAAUAGCGUAUAUUAAAGUUGUUGCAGUUAAAAAGCUCGUAGUUGAAUUUCGGGGUCAGUAGGUCGGUCGUGCCACUGGUAUGAACUGGUUUUACUGAUUCCUCCCUCUUGAAGAACUGUAAUGCCAUUAAUUUGGUGUUGCAGGGAAUCAGGACUGUUACUUUGAAAAAAUUAGAGUGUUUAAAGCAGGCUUUAGCUUGAAUACAUUAGCAUGGAAUAAUGAAAUAGGACGUUUGAUCCUAUUUUGUUGGUUUCUAGGAUUGACGUAAUGAUUAAUAGGGAUAGUUGGGGGCAUUAGUAUUCAAUUGUCAGAGGUGAAAUUCUUGGAUUUAUUGAAGACUAACUACUGCGAAAGCAUUUGCCAAGGAUGUUUUCAUUAAUCAAGAACGAAAGUUAGGGGAUCGAAGACGAUCAGAUACCGUCGUAGUCUUAWCCAUAAACUAUGCCGACUAGGGAUCGGAUGAUGUUAAUUUUUUAAUGACUCAUUCGGCGCCUUACGGGAAAC